ACGAACGCUGGCGGCGUGCCUAAUACAUGCAAGUCGAACGGCUUUUCUAUGGAAGCUUGCUUCCACUGAGAAGAUAGUGGCGAACGGGUGAGUAACACGUGGGUAACCCUGCCCAUAAGAGGGGGAUAACAUCCGGAAACGGGUGCUAAUACCGCAUAGUUUUCUUGAUCGCAUGAUCGGGAAAGGAAAGACGGCCUUUGUGCUGUCGCUUAUGGAUGGACCCGCGGCGUAUUAGUUAGUUGGUGAGGUAACGGCUCACCAAGACGAUGAUACGUAGCCGACCUGAGAGGGUGAUCGGCCACAUUGGGACUGAGACACGGCCCAAACUCCUACGGGAGGCAGCAGUAGGGAAUCUUCCGCAAUGGACGAAAGUCUGACGGAGCAACGCCGCGUGAGUGAAGAAGGUUUUCGGAAUCGUAAAACUCUGUUGUCAGAGAAGAACAAGUUGGAGAGUAACUGCUCCAGCCUUGACGGUAUCUGACCAGAAAGCCACGGCUAACUACGUGCCAGCAGCUGC
RNAcentral lists this ribosomal RNA (517 nucleotides) under uncultured bacterium. RNAcentral's name for it is "bacterial SSU rRNA". It matches the Rfam family "Bacterial small subunit ribosomal RNA", at positions 29 to 518 of the family's 1533-position model. The record is from RNAcentral.